AGGAACAUUUUUAUGUGUCAGGCAUUUCAUUCUGCUUGAAAAAAUACCUCUUUAGCAUGAAAACUCAAUUUUAAGGUAGGAUAAGGGACCAUAUCUUAUAAUGUAAGUCUAUGGAAAUAUCAAUAUGAGUGUCUGACCUCAAUUGUAUUGGCGGACAAAAACGACGGGUUGACAGACAAGCUUGUAUAUUCCAAACACAUAGAAAAAGUGAAUAUCAGAGAUUGUGAAAAUUAUGAUAAUUCAACAACUGUCGAAAGUUCAGAGGAGGAAGAUGAAAUUAUUAAGAGGAAAAGAAGAAAAACACACAAGAUUUUGUGACAGAUAGUGUGAAUGAUGAUAUCUUAGGUUGGAGACAGUAAAGGUUCAGAUUAUGAUAUGCUUAAACUUUAAAGUAUGCCCAAGAUCACCAUAGUGGAGGUGGACGAAAGAAGAAUGCUAAUUAAGAUACAUGAACAUUGCUAUUUAUAGUAAUAUCAAAAUGAUCACAAUAUUGUUCCAUUUAACAUUCAGAUAAAAAGUACAAAGAAAAAUAUACAAUCAGUGAGUUGGAUAGAUGAUUGGAGAAUCCUAACCUCAGGGUGAUCGGUUCAGUCGGGAAUAAGCCUUGGUGAUAUAAGAAAAACAUGCAUGAAUGUUAACCAUCAAAAAUGUCAGUGUUAAUGUUUAUGAAGAAUUUUGUAUAUCUAAAACAUGAUUAUUUAAUAUAUGAAGCGUUAUUUACGUACAUACUGUCAAGUUUAAUAGUUUCAUAAUACAUUAUGUUAAUGUUACAUUUGUUAUAGUACCGCAUUUUUUGUUUUGUACAUGUGAUUCGUAUAGCUAUUAAAUUGUUAAAAUUAUAAGAAUGCUUAUUCGUUUACCCUACUAAUGAGCUUAAAAUGAAAAAAAUCAUAUUCCAAAAAGUUUGAAAUGAGGUGAAAUCAUGGUCAGAUAAGG
Ruditapes philippinarum (Manila clam) is the source of this 936-nucleotide long non-coding RNA. RefSeq lists it as uncharacterized. NCBI's taxonomy places the organism in Eukaryota, Metazoa, Mollusca, Bivalvia, Venerida, Veneridae. The record is from RefSeq and is a predicted model, not a curated record. The transcript has 3 exons.